AGUGGGAUAGAUAGGUCAAAUGGUGGAUACAUUCCAAGUUUUCUGAGGAAUCACCAUACUACUUUCCAUAGUAGUUGUACCAAUUUGCAGUCCCACCAGCAAU
Molecule: microRNA precursor, 103 nt
Filed under: Marmota monax (woodchuck)
Lineage: Eukaryota; Metazoa; Chordata; Mammalia; Rodentia; Sciuridae
Source: RNAcentral